This 3112-nucleotide unclassified non-coding RNA is filed under the name Hevea brasiliensis (rubber tree). The record is from RNAcentral. Lineage: Eukaryota; Viridiplantae; Streptophyta; Magnoliopsida; Malpighiales; Euphorbiaceae.
UUCCACUCCACCUCUUGCGCGCGAUAGAGAGAAAUGGUUUUCACUGCUUCGCUCUCUGGUGCUGUUUCUCUCAAACUCUCACCUUCUCCACAUGCUGAAGCCUCGUCGUCAUCUUCAUGGUCGAAAUCAACUCUUUUCAUGGGAGCUCCAAUUACCUUUUGUCCUACUCGAAGUGGUAAGCAAUCGGAUACCCGAAAGACACUCGUUGUGUUCUCGAAGAGGAUUUCCGGUUUAGAAGAGGCAAUGAGAAUCAGGAGACAACGUGAGCUUCAAAGUCGAGUCAAGUUUCGAAAAAGACCGCCUUUGAGGCGUGGAAGGGUGUCGCCCCGUCUUCCUGUGCCUGAUCAUAUUCCUAAGCCGCCUUACGUUGGUUCAGAUGUCUUACCAGAGCUCUCCAGCGAGCAUCAAUUUCAUGAUUCUGAAGGCAUUGCUCGAAUGAGAGCUGCUUGUGAGCUUGCAGCUCGCGUCUUGGACUUUGCGGGGAAAUUGGUUAGGCCAUCAGUGACAACGAAUGAGAUUGACAAAGCAGUACACCAGAUGAUCAUUGAGGCUGGUGCUUAUCCUUCUCCCCUUGGAUAUGGAGGAUUUCCCAAGAGUGUGUGCACAUCUGUUAAUGAGUGCAUGUGUCAUGGGAUACCUGAUUCCCGUCAGUUACAGGUCUGUCUGUUGUUGCUUGUGUGAAUUAUAUGCAUAUGAACGCUAACAAUCGUCUACUGUGCAGGAUGGUGACAUAAUAAACAUUGAUGUGACAGUCUAUUUAAAUGUAUGUUCCUGAUCGCUAUAAUUUUGUCUCUAAUUUAGCUCAUUCCUAUACAUGUUUCAUUAGUUUACUAAAAAAAUCUUCUACACCUGUAAAAUACCUAGUGUUGACAGUCUCAGACAUCAUCAGUUCAUCCUUCCUAUUAAUUUGUUUAUUUCUAGUCCCAUACAGUUGUACUUAACUGUUGAUAUUUUAUGGUACAAUGUAGACUGUAGAGUGUAUCCUUGAUGCUUUAGCUGUACAAUUGUCAAUUCAUUUACUUUUUAAGUGCAAUAACUUGGUGCAUGGCUUUUUGAGUAUUCUAGGAGACAAAAAUUAACAAAUGCUGACUAAAUUUUACAGUGGGAUGUUUGAGGAGACAUGUUUGUAGCAUCAUGGUAUGUAUAACAGAGAAUCAUUAGUAGCAUCAGUUAUCCAACAUCAAAUUAUUAUCAAGAGCUAUUCUAGUGCCAGAAAAGUCUAUAGGAGUACUUUGAACAUCAGAACCUAUUGUAUUGAACUAUUUUAGAUGAAUUAUAUAAGAAUUAACUAAUAUUUAAAAGAAAUAUGAUUUAAAGUUUGUUCAACAAUUUCUUUACUAUCAAAUGGUGGAUAAUUUAUAUUAUUUGCAACCAUUAUUGUUUUUUACUGCAUAUAUUCUUUUUGGCCUAUAGGCAGACAUAAAGGAGGAAAAUGAUUCCCAAUUGGUUUGGGAUGAAACAUUAAUUGCUGAAUUGAAUAAAAUGCAACUAUCCUAUGACAAACAUAGCAAAUAACAUGACAUAUAUUAUUAAUCUGCUUUAAAUGUGCCGUAACAUAGGAAGAAUGUAUACCUGAUUUGUCUAUGUGUCAUAUGCUUUCUCUUGCUUAUUAGGGAUAUCAUGGUGACACAUCAAAGAUGUUUCUGUGUGGGAACGUUAGUGACUCUCUUAAGCGUCUUGUGAAGGUGACAGAAGAGUGCAUGGAAAAAGGAAUAGCUGCUUGCAAGGAUGGUGCUAGUUUCAAGAAAAUUGGGAAGAGAAUUAGUGAGCAUGCUGAAAAAUAUGGUUACGGUGUGGUGGAGCGUUUUGUUGGACAUGGUGUAGGGACCGUGUUUCAUUCUGAACCAGUAAUACUGCAUCACCGGAAUGAAAUGCCUGGUAAAAUGGUUGAAGGUCAAACAUUUACAAUUGAGGGGUGCAUGUGGGCUGGGUUGUGUGGGUUAGGGGUAGCAUGAUGCCCAUUAACUCCAUGACAUUGUUGAAAUGUUCAACUUAAAUAUAUGAGCUAGUAGAUGGAAAAGGCUAAGCACAGAAUUUGAGGCCAUUCUGCAUUUCUUUCAGCUUGGUAGGUACAUCAUAAUUUGGGCGGAAAAGAAUAGUGAUUUAAGUUAGUGCUGUACAUUGACCUUUUUUUUGGCACUGGAUUAUUACAAUUUGUUUUUAUCUUUCUGCUGCAGAACCAAUUCUUACGAUGGGAAGUAUUGAGUGUGUAACAUGGCCUGACAACUGGACAACUUUAACAGCGGAUGGCAGCCCUGCUGCACAGUUUGAGCAGACCAUUUUAAUUACCAAAACUGAUGCGGAAAUUUUGACAAAAUGUUGAAUAAUGUUAAUCACUUUCUGUUUUUGCCUCGAUAUUACUUUACAUGUUAUGCAAUUCUGGUAAAGAUGCUAAUCCAUUUCCAUUCAAAUGGCUCUGUAAUGUUUAAACUAUUUAAUAUUGGCACUAUCAUGAUUUCAGAAGUACCAAUUGCUUAAUGCCUGGCCUAGGUGAACAGAGUUACAGAGUAUGUUACUAUUGUUGUCAUUAUAUUCCUAGGAUUGGGAAAGCAAUUUGAAGAAACACGACUUCCAUUUAUGGCUAAACAAAUGCUGAUUGACCUUACAGAAAUUUUAUUAUGAAUUUGCAUGUAAGUAUCUGAACACAUCCUGUUGUUAUGUUCAGUUGGGUGGCUGAAUUACAAAUUUAACUGCGAAAUCUCGAAACAGUUGAUUGUAUUUACUUUUAAAUUACUUGAGCAGCCUAGCCUAGACUACUCUUGCGGAAAAUGGUCCAGAAACUUGGGAUUCAGCAUCAUACACAACUAGAUAUGAUUUAGCAUGCUUUGAUGUGUGAGCAAGGGCAGACUUAAAGCUCAUGCGCCAUCUUUGGAUUGGCUAAGAUGUGCUACAUGAUGCCACUAAGGCUGUGUUUGGAAUUGUGGUUGAGAGGUCAAAAAACUUGUUUGAAACUACUUUUAAAAUCACUCUUUUAAAUGUUAAAAAAAAAAACAAUUUCAAAAAGUAAUUUUAUUAUUUUGAAAUUUUUAUAAUUAAAAUAUGUCAAAUUUAAAUUGAAAUUAAAGGCCCUUAAUAAACAUUUCUGAGAUAGUGUUUUUCUCAACAAUAGCUC